Molecule: long non-coding RNA, 9105 nt
Organism: Oreochromis niloticus (Nile tilapia)
Lineage: Eukaryota; Metazoa; Chordata; Actinopteri; Cichliformes; Cichlidae
Exons: 2
Source: RefSeq, a predicted model, not a curated record
UAUUAGUUGCACUUGAGUUUAGAAGUGCUUGUGUGAUUGGGUGAAUGAGGCAUGUUGUAUAGAGCGCUUUGAGUACUCCGGGAGAGUAGAAAACCGCUAUAUAAGAAUCAGUCCAUUUUCCAUUUAAAAGGUGAAGUUACUUUAACUGUUGUCAAACUAUAAUACGGCUUCUGGAAACUUGUUUCAAUAGAUUCACGCUACUAAUUGGGAAUUAUGUGAUCAAUAACGGCAGCUCAUUGGAAAAGAAGGAAAAUGCCCUUCAUUUAUUUACACUUUUGUUUGGGGUUUUUUUUUUUGGGGGGGGGGGGGUAAAUAGUUUUUUAAAAUCAAAUCUCUUUGUUGGAACAAAAUUUUUCUAAAAAGGUGCACAUUACUGGAUCAAAGUCUAUGUGUGGAUAUACAAAAAGUGAUGAUCCACAGUGUUCCUCUUAAACCCAGUGCGACUAACAUCAAAGGCUCCAUUAUGUUUUCAUAGUGUAAUCACCUCCUCCCAACAGGCUGUAAACUCAGCGCCACUGGCUGCAGUAAGUCCCACCAUGGCCAUCAAAUCCACGCUAAUCCCCCACACUUCCCUCUCACAGAGGGGGGAGGGUCAGUCAGUAUCGCGGUACACAAACAGAGGCCUGUGCCGGCAAACGCGCACUACUUGGUUGCAAAGCCAUGCUCCAGGUGUGAUGAGGUGGAGCGCACUCACCGCAAACAGAACGGUGAAGGCUGGAAGCGUGCGCCCUUCUGACUUGACCUCAUUCUGACAUAUGAUGUGGGACCAUAUGCAAAUUCAAGGGCUUGUGCAGGUGAGUGAGUUGGUGCACUACUUGCUGGCCUGUUACAGCACUAUCUUCCCACCACAGCUGCUGCUGCCAUUAAGGCAACGGGCGUCAUUCUUAUUCAGCACACGCCACCAAUUUCCACAGCUGUGCGGACAUUCGAAGUGCAAAAUUCCUCCGCCAUCAGCACGCGCCGCCUCACAAGCAACUCUCGAGCGUGGUUUUUCAGAGCAUGUGUUCUGCUUUCUGCAGCAAAGGAAACACAAUGAAGAAAACCACAGGAAGCCUGUGAACUCACUGAGAGAGCAUGGUUAAGGGUGUAUAACACGUUUUCGGUCCCCCUUGCUCACUAGACUGACAGGCAGCAACAUCACUUCCUGUGAAUGACAACUUACAAUGUCAAUGCAUGAAGCAUGACAAACUCUGCUGCAAGCUCUGACUCAAUUAAUUCUAUUAGUUCAUGAUUCACAGGAAAUAAUACGUGUGAUCUCUGCUAGAAGCAUGCAUAUGGCGAUGCUGCUGCCCACACACUCCAUGUGCACAUGCAUACACAUGGAUGCAGUUAUGCAAGAAUUAAAAUGAUCAGACAAAAAAUAAGUUUGCUAAGUAAAAAACUAUUAAAGCAAAAGUGCUGAAUAUUUUCAUGCUCCAUGUUUCAGAUUCGAGAAUUUACCUAUUCCAAUCUAGCAAGUGGAAUUAGUUUAGUAUUUUAUACACUGCAUAAUUAACUGAGGAGUGACAAUAAUCAUUAGCGAAAGUGCAACUUAACUAAACAGCCAUUUGGGAGCAGCACUAAGUGAUGAGAGAAAGAGCCAUCAAAAUUGGGCCCCUUAUUGAAGCUUAUCUCAAUCUGUUACGCACAAUGAAAAUGACUGUAUGCCUGCAAACUGUUCCUGACCCAGUGUCAAAGACUGCACAAUCAAGUCAGCACACUGACUCACUUGGCUGAAUAAUGUCUGAAUUUUAAGUUCCUCCCAGAGCCACAGAGCUCCCCGUUUCGCCGCUCUUGGAUGACAGAACGAGCUGUGUGUGACAGUCUGCAGUCACACAACACCACCAUGUGCAGAUAUCCAACUCAAACUGGCUGACUAAUGCGAAAUGUGGGCUGCUCUCUGUAUGAAACCAGAGGCUGAUGCUGCAGAUGCAAAGCGAGCCUCCUAUCUCUCAUCUAGAAGAAAAAAAAAAACAAUUUUAGGCCACGACCUCAGCUGGUUGUUCUUGGCGAUUAUGAAAAUGCGGGGCAAUUUUGACGGAGGAAGUACUUUCAUGGAGGAGGUGGCGGGCUUUGACAACCGAGCCUUGCUUACUGAUAUUCACAGACGGUGCCUGCAUUGUGUUACUGCGGGGUAAUCACGCUGAUUCAUCUUGUGUAAGAUGCAUUAGAGCGGGCAGUUAUGCAACAUAUGGGAUGGAAGAGUCGGAAGUCUAUAAUCCAGGUAGGGUAAUACCUAAAGUCACUCCUGAAAAGUGAGGCGACACCUUUAAAUCAGACACAGAAGCGAUGAUGAAACCUGAGCCGAGUUCGAAAUCAGUUCAGGGAAACCUUGUGGGCUCCCUCAUUAAGGUUGGAAACUGAAAUCUAAAGUCAGGCUUGUAGGAUACAACAUUUUCUCACAGAAGGCUAAACCGCUACGAUGGUGGCUUAUUUUCACAUGUAAUUUUACAAAUUUUCAGCCACGAUCCCUCAAAAUCUGCUAUCAUCACUGUGCAGUUACACAAAAGACUAUUUUUAAUCAGGCUUCACACAAUCAUCUGCUCAGCUGGGUAUUUUGCUCCUCAGUCUGAAUUUUUUAAACUAUAAUGACUAGAAAAUUGUGAAAAGAAUGCAGCUUUCUACUUCCUGCUGUAGACACCAUUCCUCUCAUUAUCAACCCCCAAAAUAUGACCAAACUUUGGCCUCCGCAAGGAUCGGCAGAAGAAAAAAGAAAAUCCAGGUAAAAGUCAAAUCACCCAGUUGUGGCUCAAUGAGUACCAGAGGCUCAAUUAUGCAAAUCAUGCAAAUAACUAUACUUUUAUUGUCUAUGUGGAACACAUAAAGUAGUGCCCUUCAGCGAUAAAUGAAACCAUAGAAAGUCUGGUGAUUAUGCUUCUCCACAAAGAUGAGUCAGGCUUUGAGCACACAAACUUUCACAGGACCUUAGAAAAUGCAUUAUAGAGAAUGAACACAGUACACAAGAAUUUCUAAAGCCUAAAUUGUUCAUCAGUCCACAAUAAGGCAAAGUGUCCACAAUGGAAAUUCAGGAGUGUUACUCCUCUCCCUAGGAGUGGGUGUCCUGCAAAGCUCACGCCAAGAGAACAACGUGUAAUCCUGAACGAGGUGAUAAAGAACCCGAAGUAACAGCUAAGCACCUGCAGAAAUCUCUACAACUUGUUAAAAAUCUCAUUAUUAGGGGGAAAAAUAAAAUUCUGAAUAGAAAUGAUGUUAAUGCAAGGACAUGAAUGUUCCACCAAACUUCUGGGAUGUUCCGCAGGCAAGGUGAGUUAGAAGCUGAAUGUGGCACACUAUGUUUGAAGUUUAGUUGAGGGAACAAUGAAAAAGCAAGAAAUUUUAGAGGAAAGUGUGAUGUGAGGAGAGGUUGGCAGAUGCGGAUGUGACAUAGUGACCUGAAGCAAACCACUGGACGGUCAAAAGAAAAAGACAAAGAUUCAGCAUCAUUGCCCUGAUGUUAACCAAUAUGGGAUUGCUGUGGCAUGACCUGAAAUAAGAUAAAUUUUGAUGACAUCUGACUGUUGUCCAAGUCUCGUCAGCAGCUGUAGGACUCAUCUGAUGGAGGUUGGUGCUGCUAAUGGAGCGUAAGCUGCACCUGUGAGCUUGCAAAAUAUAUCCAGUCCCUUUAAAACUUCAAACUUCUGGGACUGAUCUGGUCAGUUAAGCAGAGGGGUUUGUUAAUCAGUUUCAGCUGCUUUGGUGUUAAUAGGUAGUUCAGCUCCACCAACAUGGCAUAUCAAAUGUGCCAUUGCCAGAAGGUCUGCUGUGUCUCCCAGCACAGUCUCAAGAGUAUGGAGGAGAGUCCAGGAGGGGUAGUUACUCAAGGAGAGCUGAACAGGGCCGAAGGUACUUAACCCAUCACCAGGAACGGUAUUUGCUCCAUUAUGGAAAGAGAAACUGGAUCAGAACUGCCAGAGAACUACAAAAUGACCUCCAGCAGGCCACUGGUGUCAGAAACAGAGUUCACGAGGGUUGUCUGAAGGCCGACGUCCACCACUGUGGAACCCAACUAGCUUUUACCAUAGAUUACCACAAUUGGCAAGUCGACCUGUGAAUAAACUAGAAAUUAACAGUUUUUCAACAAAAACGAAUCUGGCUGAAUCAACUGACAGAAGAGUUUGCCACUUACUGAAUGAAGAGAUUUAGCAUUUUAGUAAUAGAAAAAAAAUUGCAAAUAUUGUCUGUAGUAGAGUAGGCUGAAUAUUUUAAAUUUGGGUUUUGGUUUAAGAAAUGCCAGUUUGCAGAAGAAUAAAUGAAACAUUCCCUGUGGGGAGGCAGGAGGGGGAUUCCUCUCCAACCUGCCAAAAAUGGCUUUCUGCCUGUUAAAUGAACUCGACUAAUACAUCCAGUGAAAUCCAGCAGCUGUUAAGGUCCCUACAACUGGAGCUGGGAGCCAUUAUUCUAAUACCCUGUGGACCUCAGGCUACUUUCCAGUAAUGUGCAAUUUGAGGUCACUGGACUGCUGAUGAAAAAGAGAGCGAUGGUCAGUUUACAGGCUGUUAAGAGCUACUGGUGCCCACAAAGAGCUGAAAAAAAAGGUUUCUGCCAAAUUUUUCCCAAGAGCACAAGAUAAUCUUGUCUGAAACCACAGAUCAGUCUGUCAGAUAGCGGCUGAAUUAUUUUAAUAAGUGCAAUUACAUUUCCUGUGCUCUGAUACAGGGCAGCUUUGUAUCCUUCCAACUCUCCGAGUACACUGGAUAACACAACAUGGCUGUGCAGGCAUUCACUGCGGUCAGAGGUGCCACGGAUGCAAAUGGAAAUGUCUGUGCACAGUCAGUGUAGAUGGAGAACAGCAGUGAUGGUGGGAAGUGGUAAACAGUCUUCUUCAGGCAGAGCAACCAAGGUCCUCUAUCAUCCUAGUUGCCUAGCUUCCACUUUCACGGCAUUCAUGCAGCUUUCAAGGACCCAACUUGUUUCAGAGAAUUAUCAAUGCACAGAGGCAACAACAGUCACUUCAAAACCAACAAGUGGGGCUCUGUGAGAGGCCGGCUCAGUUUAAUAUCGGUGUUUAUUCAUGAAUGUCAAACUUAGAGAAAAAAAAAAGAUAAUUUUCCUAAACUGGAAGCUAAGUGAGGACAACUUUGACACUGCGAUUUCAGAAUGUGGGAUGUAGAACACAUGAAAACACUCAAAGCAGAUGCAGUUAGAAAGCAUUUUGGACUGCAUUUGAGCCACAAAAUGUAGGGGAAUAAAUUAUGUUUUAGAAGAUUUGCUUUAGUGAAGUACAGGUGUGCAGUGCUCUUUGCAGUCCUGUGAAAGUGUUAGGCACACCAUUACUGCUUCCACGGGAACUGAUAGGGUAAGUAGCAGCCAGGAGCUGAUAAUCAAAUACACUUGAUUAACUGAUCAUCAGCAAGCGGGAGAACCUCUAUAAAAGGAGAAGUUCUGGCAGUUUGCUGAUCUGGAGCAUUAAGGUGUGCAUUAACACAAUACAAAGUCUUCCCUGGAGUGGACAUCCCAGCAAAUUCACCCAAAAAUCAGACUGUGCAUGCUCAGAAAACUGCAAAAAAGCCAAAUAUCUGCAGGUCUCAGUUAGCAUGUAAAAUGUUAAAGUUCAUGACAAUAUGAUUACAAAAAGACAGAACAAGUCUGGCUUGUCAGGACAAAGCUUCUUCUCUAAGAAGAACAUGGUAACACAAGUUAGCUUUGCAAAGUUACAUCUGAACCAAUCACUUCUGCAACAACGUCCUUUGGACAGAUGAGACCAAACAGGAGAUCUUUGCCCAUAAUGAAGAUCAAACCACAGCAUAUCAGCACGAACACCUCAUAUGAACUGUCAAGCACGGUGGUGGAGGGGUGAUGAUUUGGGUUUCUUUUACAAACACAGGACCAGAGGUCUGUACUACGAAGCAGAAUUAUAUCUUAUGCAGGUAACUUUGUAGUUACCGGGGUUUUCUGUACUUACAAAGAAUGUUCAUUUCUUACUAGGGUGCAUCCCCCCAUAGUAACUUAUUCUGCAAACCUAGCCUGCUCAAGGAGUAGGUUAGGUUUCAGAUUAGAGAUCAAAAUCACCGACUACUGACCAAUCACUUCUCUGGAAAUCAGCAUCACUAAUCAGCAGCAAGAUCGAUUUUUAAUAGUGUCUAAAGUUUUUGUGUUUCCCAAAUGAGCAUCAGUAAUAAAUACAGAUUCUUAGAUGCUGUUUUAUUCCAUGACUUUUUCAACUUUUUUUUUUUUUUUAACCAUUAGGCUGGAAACAGUCUUGCUAUUCAAUAUGCAUUAAUAGAUGAAUUAAGGCACCUAUUUGUUCCUUUGGACUUUAUAUCAAUUACAGAUAGAAUUCAAAUGUGGGCUUAGUCUGUUUUUGUAUUUAUUCUUGACUUGCCCUCAGAAAAUUAAACACCAUUGGGGCUUUCAAUGAAAGAAUAAAAACUAAUGGUCCAACGAGAUUAUAAUCCAUCAGAUUCUCCCACAGUUGGCAAACAGAAUAAACUUUAUUAAUAUAAAAGCUCUUUUCCACUCUUACAGACCAAAACAUUUAAACAUGCGUGCGCGCGCACACACACACACACACACACACACACACACACACACACUAGACUUUACUCUUGUUUUAUAAUAAAGGAGACCAAUCACAAGAAAUAAAUGUGAUUGGUCAGAUGAUGCCAGCACCACCCCUUUCAUGUGAACUUGCUCGUACCUAGAUCGGGAUAACCAGGGUUAACAUAGCGAGUUGAUAACACUGGCUUCACACAAAGCUGGUUAAGGUAAGUGGAUCCAGGUAACGGAAAAAUACCCUCUGCAUGUCGGGUUUUCCUUCAUAGCACCUGGGCACGUUGCAGUCACCGAGUUAACCACGAACUCAUCUGCAUCCUAAAGUAUUCUAAAGUGAAAUGUGAGGCCAUGUUUUCAAAGCUUGGCUGAAAAAUUGCUAAAAACAAAAAGAGGUGGAAGGUGGUGCAAUGGUCCAGUCAAAGCCCAGAUCUCAAGCCCAUUGAAAUGCAGUGACAGGACUUUAAGAGAGCUGUGCAUAAAUGAAUGCCAACAAACCUCAAUGAACUGAAGCAGACAAGGGGGACAAAACUCCAAAAUUCCUGCACAAUGAUCUGAGAAGCUGAUGACGCCCCACGGAAAACAAUUACUAAACAUGCAAGCUCUAAGGAGCCUGAAAAGAAAGUGACUGGAGUGACUUUAUCCAAGAGACUUUUUCCAGUUCUAAAACCAAACGCUGGAGAGUCCCAGGUAUUUAAACCUUAUUGGGGUUUAAGCACCUGCUCCUUAGACUACCAUGACCUGGAUGACUGAGAACCUAUAGAUUUACUAAACAUGCAGUUUUUAUAUCCCAUUGACCUCCGACAGUUAUGGUUCACCCCUAUUCAUUUAGAAAGGGGUCCUCAAAUAACUCCUAAUAAGCAUUAACAAAAUGACUUCCUUUUAAAAGAACAGGUUUAUUCUCAACUCUCUCAUAAGUCGGGAGGAAGCUGCUGGUGGAGACGGAACAAUUAAACUGGGGUUAAUAUUGAGCCUCCGUUCAUCAAGUGGACACAAACACAACUCAACCUGAAGAGAAAUGUGGCCGGUGUGUUAACACAGGACACUUCCAGAGGGAUGAUCCCUCUCGGACAGCGAUUUGGAAGCCCGACAACUGAACCAACAGUUGAAAGGUGGAGCAAAAGGAGGAAGAGGAAGACAAUCUGUCCCCUCCUUCGACCAGCACUUCCUCUUCCAUUUUAAUCCCCAGCCAAAGCUGCGAGCUCGCUGGGCUUUUGUGCCCCAGGUGGCCUGUUGUGAACCCCAGAGUGCAACAACAAGCCACUCCCUGAUUAAGACGCGCAGGAACAAGUAAAAAUGGCCCUCACUCGAAUUCAGCCAGGCAGGAGGAGUACACGCUGUACGGUGUGUACCAUUACAACCGAGUGGUGACGAACCAGCCCCGCAGAUGUGUGCUGGGUCGUGGGCGGAGGGUUGUGUGUUCCUCCAACCUGGCCAUUGUGUGGACAGUAAGUCUCAGUGAUGAUGAUGAUGUCGAUGAUUCACUGGUCUUAUUCAGAGGCUCUUCACACACAAACGAAAGCCUUAGGGGGGGUGAAAAAAAGAAAAAUCAGAAUUGCCUCUAGGUAGGAACGUCUGUUUAGUCCAGCAGCUGAAGUGUUGGGUGUGCUUUAUGAAUCACCAAUCUCAGAGAAUUUUAUGAUGCUGCUAGAAAAAAAGAAAAAGACAAAAGAAAGCACAGCAGAUCUGCAGUCACACUGAGCAGCUCAAGAGUUUCCCCAAAAUGAGAGGAUGAUGAUAGGAUACAGACUAAUGAAAGUUUACACAAGGGGACGAUGCUCCGAAGAACAAACCACAUAACCAUAGUGACCAGAGACCUGUCUUUUUGUUUUUUACUGUGCAGCUUGACACCAGUUUCAGCUAAAUUAAAGAAAACAAACACGUUUCCUUGGGGAGACUCCAUCCCUCAGCAUCUCAUAACAACAUAAACACCACCACAAUGACUACUUCUCAGGAAAGAGGAGGGGGAAACCAUCUCUGGGGGGGGGGGGGGGGUAAAGCAGAGCAGCGAGAACCGCACUCUGUUAAACGUGUGAUAGCACCUAGCAGUCUAUCACAAGGCUGCUUGGAUCGUGUGAGCACGACCUGCUCUGGCUGUCUCCUGUCGCUCAUUCACUCGGGCUCUUCUGUCUGUGCUGCAUGACUUAUUGAAAGAAGAGAAAGGCAUGAAGUCAGGCAGCACUAACAGCAGACCAAAAUAAUCUGUGGAAUUCGCCUGCUCUUUGGUCCAAGGGCAAGGCAGUAAGUUCAGCCAAAGAUGAGGGGAGUGGGGGAGUGGAGGGUGGGGUGGGGAGGGGAGGUUUCCCUAAAAACAAGUCCACAGAAACCAGAGCACAACAGUUUACUGUACAAACAAGAAUCUGCCACAGUGACACAGAUCCAUAAAACCCCAGACGUGAUCUUUCUCAGCUCAAAUCUGUCCCUCUGUUUGGAGAAGAGAGUCAAGAGGCCGACAGAACAAGGCACAACACCCACUAAAGUCCUCACAGAUGGCCCCCUUAAUUUAGGGGAGCCGAUUUCAUCAUCAUCAUCAUGUAAUGCAAAAGAGGCCCCUGCUGUCUUUGUCACAGUUGUGCCGAUAAAUAAAUGUCAGCCUUAACAAAGCUCUGGAUACACGCGUCAGUCCUGGGAAAAAAA